GCCCUUGUAGCUUAGUGGUUGGAGCGCGUCCUUGGUAAGGACGAGGCCGGGAGUUCAAAUCUCCCCAAGGGCU
RNAcentral lists this transfer RNA (73 nucleotides) under Candidatus Woesearchaeota archaeon. RNAcentral describes it as "tRNA-Thr". It matches the Rfam family "tRNA". From Rfam's summary of the family: Transfer RNA (tRNA) molecules are approximately 80 nucleotides in length. Their secondary structure includes four short double-helical elements and three loops (D, anti-codon, and T loops). The record is from RNAcentral. Lineage: Archaea; Nanobdellati; Candidatus Woesearchaeota.